AAUGAGCAAGAAGUCAAUGACAAAUUAUAAUCUUUAAGGGCACACCAGUUACCUACUUCCUCCAGCCAUAGCAACCUGCCUACAGUUACCACUCAAUAAUCAAUUAAAAUCAUUAAUCCAUCAGAUGGAUUAGUCCUCUGAUCUGGUCACAACUCUCAUAAUCUAAUCAUUUCAACCCUGAACAUUCCUGUAUUGUUUAUCACAUGAGCUUAUUUAGAGACACCUCAUAUCAAACCAUAACAGCAAGAAUAGAUAUGUAUCUUCUCCACAAACAUAUUCAGAUGCUUAGCUGACAGAGUUUCAGGCAGCCAAAGCUCAUGACAUCCAAAAUUGACUUUGAACUGCAUAGUACUUAUGGGACAGGACAUGCAAAGGAGGAGGAAAGGAGUGGAAUGGGAUGGCUGCUUCUGUUCCAUCGGGUAACAUUCACACUCACAUGGCAACAAGUCCCAGAAACAGCUCUGGAAGACAUCAUCCUUAGCUCCUCAGACACUUCUUGGUGACAACUCUACUGCAUGGAAGAGAGCAUCACAGUAACGAGUAUUUCCAUGGUGAAGCCAUCUGGGCCUACAGUUUGCUUUGCAAGACUUGUUUUUCCUUGGUGAUAGAUUCAAUUUCUUUAAUAAGCAUAAAAAUCUCUCACCACCUGCAUGUACAGCUUAGGAAUCAGAAAUGGGAAAUUACAUACACAAUGUUUCACAAACUUUAUGAGGAUCUUAUUCAACACCUUUAUCCAUUAUUCUUGAGUUGGUGACUCUAAACUCCAAUUUUUGUCUUUCUUUCCCAGUGAGGCUGCCACAAGUGUGGGGUGCUGCUGAUUGGCUCGUAUGCCUCACAGUAGAAUUAGAAAAUUAUUUUAAGUAGAAAAAAAAAAUGUAUGGCAAACAGAGGACUCACCACAACAUGUUUUUCUUUUCUUGGAAACAUUUUAUUUAUGUUAUUAGUAGAAAUAUUAGUCCAAUGUAAACUACUCCUUUAUAGCUACAAGCAAUCCCUCAGGGGACUUUGAGCAGAGUAGAAUUAUAUGACUUGAGUUAUAGUUUAGAAUACCACUGUGAAUAUUGGGUAAAAAUAGGGAGCAAGGGUAUAAUUGAAAAGAAUUAGGAGGCUAUGGAAAUCGUCCAGAUAAGAAAAGAGCAUUACGAAGACAUUGGUAGCACUGUGUAUCCCCUAUGUUAGAGGUCAGCCUAGGGAUGAGAAAAUGAUGGUCAGUGACAAAUAUUGUUUAAAUCUCACCUUAUUGUGGCCUGAGUUUAACUUGUUUCUGUAUCUCACUGUAAGUCAAAAAUAGUGAAUAUCAGAUUGCUCUAUAGCCGAACUCUUAAAUAUGUGUAACCAUUUAAUUAAGUUUCCCUACUAUGCAUUUUCAUUUCCAUAUAUGAUUGUAUGAAUAUUUAAGGUAUUAAUGACAUAAAUGAUCAAAAUUGAAUAUCUACAAAUGGUUUGUUUUGCAUUCAGAAAUCCUUUUUCUUCUUGCUCUAGAAAAUGUGUAAUUGAUUUAUUUAUAUAGUACAAAACAAAUCAACUUUUCCUUUAUUUAAAUGGCAGUCCAUUUCUUAUUUGUAAGAUAAACAUGUAUGUUGAUAUAUAAUUUUUGUCAUUUAAGAAGGCAUCAAAAUAAUAUCAUUGAUUAAAUCAUAAUCAAUACCAUUGAUUAUUUGUUAUCUAGAAUUCAAAAACCAUAGGUAUAAAUCAGGUUUUCCUUCAAUAUUUAGCUUUCCAAAAGACAACAUGCAUAGAGAUUGCGCAUAUAUACCCUGAAAUAAAUUUGCUAUGGUUAUAAAAUUGUUAUGGUCUAGAUAUGAAGUAUCUAAAAAAUCUCAUGAGUGAGACAAUGAAAAAUGUUCAGACGUGAAAUGAUUAGAUUAUGAAAGCUUCAACCUAACCACUGGAUUAAUUCACUGAUAUGGAUUAACUGAGUGGUAACUGUAGGCAGGUAAGGUGUGGUUGGGAAAGCUGAGUCAUUGGGGCAUGACUUCAAGAUUUAUAUUUUGUUCCUGCUGAGCAGAGGUCUCUCUCUUCUUCCUGAUUGCCCAUAUUCUAAGCUGCUUUCCUCUGCCACACCCUUCUGCCAUGAUGGUCUGCCUCACUGUGAACCUAGAGCAAAGGAGUCAGCUGUUUAUAAACUAAGACCUUUGAAACCAUGAGCCAAAAUAAACUUUUUCUCCUUUUAAUUUUUCUUGGCAUGUCUUUUGGUUAUAGCAAUGCAAAAGCUGAUUAAAACAAAAGCUUAUGUAUACUUCAUACCAGUGGUAUUAACUUGGUCCUAUAUACCUAUUUUCUAAGUUAAUUGUGAAACUUAAGGAAGAUCAUCAUGAAAAAACCUGAUGGUUAGGGCCAUGCCUACUUUACCAUAAAUUAUUCUCUUUUUUAAAGUUAAUGCAAAAGAGCACUUUAUUUUUGGAGGCAAAAUUUAAGGGAUCUAUAUCUACAGUAUAUAUAAUAAUUAUUAUUAUCCUUUUAAAAUGUAAGCACUCUUUCUCCCUUCCAGCUAUCACAUUGUGGUUAAAUAGUAUAAGGUGAUAUGAAAAAAAUGCUAAGCAAGAGUUUCCUUAUGAAAACAACAGUAAUAGUAAUAAUAACAAUUAUAAAAGUUCAAAUGAAAAUAACUGGCUAACAAAAAAAGUGCUGAAUUUCACUUUUUUUCCUUGUUUCUGCAGUUUUCACAGAAGCAACAACUGUGAAAAUAGCUUUCAUUUUUCCUUUACAAAACUGAAAAUAUAAGUCAUUAAAUAUAAAUCUUAUAUUCUUGAAGUUAAAAUGUACUCUGUCAAGCCAUUGUAUGUUUCCUAAUCAGGCCCAACUGAAGUUGGAUUGUUUGUAUGCCAAAGUAAACUCCAAGUCCAUAAAUAAAUUUGAUUGAUUUGUUUUAACAUCAGCAAUGUGACAUCUCUAUCUUAGCUCAUGUGAUAGGACAUAGCCAUAGAUAUUGUUAGGACUAUUCCCUUAUGGGAUGCUUGCUGUGGUAUAUUGAAGAGAACUAUUAUUAAUUUGUACUCAGUACGUGGAGUUUAGUCAGCAAAAGUAAAACAGCUUUUGUUAAUAAGGAUAAAAUAUGUAUAAUGACUUGUUGAAACAAUUUGGUAAUAUUCAAGAGUGUUUCAUAAGUAGAAAAAAUUAUGUGAAGCAGGAUAUUUUGUUCUUUGUCUGCACACUUUCCAUGAUUUAUUUGCAAAUGCUUUUGAAUGGAUUUUAUGAGAAGUCAUAGUAGAAGAUGCAAAGAUAAUAGCCAUGGCUCCUAUUGUCACGAUAAAAGGCAGAAUGUGAUAAUAAGGAAAACAUAAAUAUGAAAUAUGUUACUUAAAGUAAAAGUUCACCACGGCCAGAGAGAUACAGCAAGUUUGCAAAAUUACAAUAUCAUUUGCUCUGCACUUAGCAGAUAGUUAAGUUACAUUUACACAUUUGAAGAUGGGGGAAAUAUUUUGAAGAAACAAAAAACAUAAAAUUAGAAAUAGAGAAGAGUUAUUAGUAAGAAAAAAAUAUAAAACAAAAUAGAUAUGAGUCUAGAGAAGUUUAGUUGGGUCCAAUAAUAAAAAGUUUUCUUAAUUUUUACUUCUGGGACAACUUGGGAUCAUUGCAAAUUUUUGAGCUACCAAGUUUUGUAUUAAAAUAUUAUUAUAUUUCAGCACAGCAUUAGAUUGAUUGAAAAGGGAAAAUAAUUGAGGUAGAAAGAUCAAUUACAAGCUCAUUAAAAUUGACUAGCUAAACUGAUUUUAGGGCCUGAACUUGAAGUUUAUCUAUCCAACUAAGAUAAACCAAUUUUUGGUUUCUAAUUAAGGAUCCUCCUAAAUUAUUGGCCCUAUAAAAGUUAAAUUCAAAUUUGCUUUGAAAUAUAUACUUGAAAAAAUACUUAGGCCAUGAUCUCCAAGUUCCAGUGGCUGGAUCACAAAGUUAGAGGAACAAAGGAGUGGAAGUUGCAUUGGUGCAGGAGGUUUUAGGUGUCAGCUGCAGGCAAGGUGGUCAUCUGUCCUGUGAGUAGCAGAGUCUGAGAGAGAGAGAGAGAAAUUUGUUUUUCGGAAAUCUAUUGGGGAAUGCCAAAUACAUUGGGGAGCUGGGUGGUCACAGAGACAACUUAACUGAGAAGCCAUUAUCACACCUCAACAAAUCCUAUGAGAAACUCUGGAGAGGAGAUUACUUUUCAGAAUUGUUCUGCACUGGGGCAAAAGAGCCAGCUUUUACACUACCAUCCUCAAGAUUCUGUAAGGAAUCUCCCGUGUGAGAUUCAUCAGAGAACAUGCAUCUGUCAGCAUUCCCAGCUACUAAGAGGAUGAAUGCUACCUCUAGAAGAGGUGAUAAGGCAAUUGGAGCAGCUAUGCACAAUGAAAUAAAGCUAGAAUAGAGUGUGUGUUGGGGGUAUCAUAUGUCACCUGAGUUCUCUAAUAAGAAGUCUCAGCACUAUUGGGUAAAUGAGAAAUAAUUUCCAUUGAAAGACUUACAUCAUCAUUUAGUCAUACAUUUAAUUAAUCAUUUCUCUAUUUUUCAAAUGUUUUCUUCAUUAUUCUAUCAUUAUAUUGUAAUAAAUAUAUUAUCAGGCAUAGUUUUAUAUUGGCAUAUUCCUUAGGAAUUUUUCUUUUGAUGUAUUUCAAUCUCUGUGCUUUAGAGAUACACAUAAAUGCCAAUUCUAUAAUAAUAGAAUCUAUCCAUGUUUGAAAAUCUUUUACUAGAUGAGUGCAUGGCUCCAUUCAUUCAAGUUCAUUCAUGUUCUUAAUCUAACAGGAAUUAAUUUGAUGCCUAGAUGCCUGAAAUGAAACCACUAUCGAUUUCUCAAGAGUUAAAAGAUUUAUGUUAACCUGUCCAUAUCCUAGUUACAGCUUUCUCCAGUAAUGUUAUCCAGUGAAUUAUAUAGCCUUACAAUAAACUCUUCCUUCUGAUCUUAUGAGACACUGAAAUGAUCUGGUUCAUGAUGUUCUUCAUUGGCCAGUGCAAUCUUGUGAGCUGAAUGAGCCAGGGGGGAAUAAGAGGCAGGAACCAUGCAUUUACUACUGCAGGAUCACCUCAUAACUUGUGGUAAGAAAUAACUAUGAAACUGUGCACAAUAACUGAUUAUUUUUGACCUAUCACUGUUAGAUCACUAUUUGUUCUUUACUGGCAACACAUGCAGACAAAAAUAUGGCAGCAUUGUAUGUGGUGACAGAUAGACCACAAAAGGCAAAGGGUCAAUCUUGUUAGAUGUUCCAACUGAUUUCCCUAGGACCCACAACAAAGGGGUGCCUUCAUUGUAAGUAUUCAAGAGAGAAAUAUGUCCAUAUAUGUAUCUAUGCUACUUCUACAUCUAUAUAUCUUUCUCUCUAUAGGGACAUGAUGGAUUUUUUAAUUAAGGGUCUGUCACACUCCAGUCACUUUUAGGUGUAUUAAUUAUUAUAACAACCCUUUGAAGCAAGAGUUAAUGCUGUCAGUUUUCAAUAUACCAUGUUACAUAGAAAUGGCAAAAUUAGGAAUGAAUCACAGAACACCACAGAGACUUCAGUAACAGGUUCUUAAUCCAGGUUACCAGGAAAAUCGCAUUUGGAGCUUAAAAGAAAUUAUAGGUACAAGAACACAUAUCUGGGAUUCUGAUUCCAUUAGUCUAGGAUAGGAUCUUACAGAUGCAUGCUUUUGGAGCUAGGAUAGGAGGAUGUGACACAAAGUUAACUUCCAGAUAUAUUGCUUAUUAUUAUUCUACCUUACUUCUCUUCAUCUUUAUUUCAAAAAGAGAAAGCAGCCAAGUUUCCCAGAUUGCUUAUCACUGAGAGUCCUGUCAGGUAUGUACACUUUUCCUGAAGGUUAUGUAUUCAGGAUGUCUUGUCCAAAAAGACUUUCUGCUCCUGUUUAUUUUGACAUCACAAGAAUCUGUUGUGCUGAUAAAUUUCUAAAAUAUUUUAUGAGUUAUUAAGUAUGCAAUACUAAUAUUACAGGUAAAUAGAAUUUAUUGGCAGGAUAGGAAAAUUGUUGCAUCAAUGGUGUAACUUAGUAAAAUACUUAAGUAAAAAUCUUGUGUAUUUAUUUUUAUAGGAUAUUUUUGCCAUUGCAAAUACUUUUUCCCAUCCUUUAGUUAUUCUACUGACAAAAUUUUACUUAUAUUGACACUAAUGACCAUUUACUUAAUUGAUCUGUAAUUUCUUAAUGAUUUAAAAUAGAAUUGGAGUUCUACAUGUUCCUAAAAAUGUAGAUGUCCAGCCUGGGUCAUCUACAUAAAGGAAAUAAGGAAUGAACUACUAAGUUAUAAGCACUAACCUAUUAAAUUAUCUUAAAUUGAGUAGCUGCUAUGUGUUAGAUAUUAUGCUAGAAUUUAUUUUCUUUUCUUUAUUUAGUCUUCAAAACAAAGUGGAGGUUGAAGAACCAACCUUGUCCUCCACCAUACAAAGGUGAGGUCAGCUAGAGAGUGAGGUCAGUUGCCCAAGAACAUAUUACACAAUAUAUAAAUUGGAGCCAAAGUGAAUGUAAGUCAGCCCUGCCUCAAAGCAUUUGCCUCUAGCUUCUUAUCUAAUGGCUACAAUUUUUAUGAUUAGUGUCAUAGGCAAACAUCACUUUCUUAUUAUUUCUAUAAAUAAAAUUUAUUUAACAGAUAGCAGAGUAGAAAAGCUGUGCAUUAUGAAACAGGACAUCUUAGGUUUAUGUUAUGUUUCUACUAAGAUCUGUCCCUGUUCUAGCUUUGUGCAGUUUCUUCAUCUAACUACAGGGAAAAAAAUACAGGACCUAUACCUUAGUUUGUUGAAAAAUGUAAUGCAAAAAUUUAUGUUAAAAACACUUAACAUAGUCUUUUUUUUCUUAUAGCAGGUGCUUCAUAAAUGCAGUUAUUGUUGUAAGAAUUUUAUUGGAUAAUAAGACCAUAUCAUUUCUGUUCACCUCUCUAUGUUAGUUUAAAAAACCAGGGUAAGUUGGAACUGAUAUUAUUACAUUUUAUAAGCCUUUAUAUGGCAACACAAAAUUAUAU
Molecule: long non-coding RNA, 6913 nt
Filed under: Marmota monax (woodchuck)
Lineage: Eukaryota; Metazoa; Chordata; Mammalia; Rodentia; Sciuridae
Source: RNAcentral